Molecule: ribosomal RNA, 618 nt
Filed under: Pediococcus sp. QMA-03G
Lineage: Bacteria; Bacillati; Bacillota; Bacilli; Lactobacillales; Lactobacillaceae
Description: bacterial SSU rRNA
Rfam family: Bacterial small subunit ribosomal RNA
Source: RNAcentral
CUUGUCAGUGAAAGCCUUCGGCUCAACCGAAGAAGUGCAUUGGAAACUGGGAGACUUGAGUGCAGAAGAGGACAGUUGGAACUCCAUGCUGUAGCGGUGAAAUGCGUAGAUAUAUGGAAGAACACCAGUGGCGAAGGCGGCUGUCUGGUCUGCAACUGACGCUGAGGCUCGAAAGCAUGGGUAGCGAACAGGAUUAGAUACCCUGGUAGUCCAUGCCGUAAACGAUGAUUACUAAGUGUUGGAGGGUUUCCGCCCUUCAGUGCUGCAGCUAACGCAUUAAGUAAUCCGCCUGGGGAGUACGACCGCAAGGUUGAAACUCAAAAGAAUUGACGGGGGCCCGCACAAGCGGUGGAGCAUGUGGUUUAAUUCAAGCUACGCGAAGAACCUUACCAGGUCUUGACAUCUUCUGACAGUCUAAGAGAUUAAGGUUCCCUUCGGGGACAGAAUGACAGGUGGUGCAUGGUUGUCGUCAGCUCGUGUCGUGAGAUGUUGGGUUAAGUCCCGCAACGAGCGCAACCCUUAUUACUAGUUGCCAGCAUUAAGUUGGGCACUCUACUGAGACUGCCGGUGACAAACCGGAGGAAGGUGGGGACACGUCAAUCUCUGCCCCUUAUGACC